GUAGGUGAACCUGCGGAAGGAUCAUUACCUAGAGUUUGUAGACUUCGGUCUGCUACCUCUUACCCAUGUCUUUUGAGUACCUUCGUUUCCUCGGCGGGUCCGCCCGCCGAUUGGACAACAUUCAAACCCUUUGCAGUUGCAAUCAGCGUCUGAAAAAACAUAAUAGUUACAACUUUCAACAACGGAUCUCUUGGUUCUGGCAUCGAUGAAGAACGCAGCAUCUGACUGACUCGACAGCUGACAAUCUCGU
RNAcentral lists this unclassified non-coding RNA (250 nucleotides) under plant metagenome. RNAcentral's name for it is "partial contains small subunit ribosomal RNA, internal transcribed spacer 1, and 5.8S ribosomal RNA". The record is from RNAcentral.